UAGCUUAGGCGCUCCUUUCGGAGGUGGGC
This 29-nucleotide small RNA is filed under the name Bombyx mori (domestic silkworm). Its description in RNAcentral is "ovarian small RNA-297". Lineage: Eukaryota; Metazoa; Arthropoda; Insecta; Lepidoptera; Bombycidae. The record is from RNAcentral.